This 1556-nucleotide ribosomal RNA is filed under the name Escherichia coli. RNAcentral describes it as "bacterial SSU rRNA". It matches the Rfam family "Bacterial small subunit ribosomal RNA". Lineage: Bacteria; Pseudomonadati; Pseudomonadota; Gammaproteobacteria; Enterobacterales; Enterobacteriaceae. The record is from RNAcentral.
UUAAAUUGAAGAGUUUGAUCAUGGCUCAGAUUGAACGCUGGCGGCAGGCCUAACACAUGCAAGUCGAACGGUAACAGGAAGCAGCUUGCUGCUUUGCUGACGAGUGGCGGACGGGUGAGUAAUGUCUGGGAAACUGCCUGAUGGAGGGGGAUAACUACUGGAAACGGUAGCUAAUACCGCAUAACGUCGCAAGACCAAAGAGGGGGACCUUAGGGCCUCUUGCCAUCGGAUGUGCCCAGAUGGGAUUAGCUAGUAGGUGGGGUAAAGGCUCACCUAGGCGACGAUCCCUAGCUGGUCUGAGAGGAUGACCAGCCACACUGGAACUGAGACACGGUCCAGACUCCUACGGGAGGCAGCAGUGGGGAAUAUUGCACAAUGGGCGCAAGCCUGAUGCAGCCAUGCCGCGUGUAUGAAGAAGGCCUUCGGGUUGUAAAGUACUUUCAGCGGGGAGGAAGGGAGUAAAGUUAAUACCUUUGCUCAUUGACGUUACCCGCAGAAGAAGCACCGGCUAACUCCGUGCCAGCAGCCGCGGUAAUACGGAGGGUGCAAGCGUUAAUCGGAAUUACUGGGCGUAAAGCGCACGCAGGCGGUUUGUUAAGUCAGAUGUGAAAUCCCCGGGCUCAACCUGGGAACUGCAUCUGAUACUGGCAAGCUUGAGUCUCGUAGAGGGGGGUAGAAUUCCAGGUGUAGCGGUGAAAUGCGUAGAGAUCUGGAGGAAUACCGGUGGCGAAGGCGGCCCCCUGGACGAAGACUGACGCUCAGGUGCGAAAGCGUGGGGAGCAAACAGGAUUAGAUACCCUGGUAGUCCACGCCGUAAACGAUGUCGACUUGGAGGUUGUGCCCUUGAGGCGUGGCUUCCGGAGCUAACGCGUUAAGUCGACCGCCUGGGGAGUACGGCCGCAAGGUUAAAACUCAAAUGAAUUGACGGGGGCCCGCACAAGCGGUGGAGCAUGUGGUUUAAUUCGAUGCAACGCGAAGAACCUUACCUGGUCUUGACAUCCACGGAAGUUUUCAGAGAUGAGAAUGUGCCUUCGGGAACCGUGAGACAGGUGCUGCAUGGCUGUCGUCAGCUCGUGUUGUGAAAUGUUGGGUUAAGUCCCGCAACGAGCGCAACCCUUAUCCUUUGUUGCCAGCGGUCCGGCCGGGAACUCAAAGGAGACUGCCAGUGAUAAACUGGAGGAAGGUGGGGAUGACGUCAAGUCAUCAUGGCCCUUACGACCAGGGCUACACACGUGCUACAAUGGCGCAUACAAAGAGAAGCGACCUCGCGAGAGCAAGCGGACCUCAUAAAGUGCGUCGUAGUCCGGAUUGGAGUCUGCAACUCGACUCCAUGAAGUCGGAAUCGCUAGUAAUCGUGGAUCAGAAUGCCACGGUGAAUACGUUCCCGGGCCUUGUACACACCGCCCGUCACACCAUGGGAGUGGGUUGCAAAAGAAGUAGGUAGCUUAACCUUCGGGAGGGCGCUUACCACUUUGUGAUUCAUGACUGGGGUGAAGUCGUAACAAGGUAACCGUAGGGGAACCUGCGGUUGGAUCACCUCCUUACCUUAAAGAAGC